AACUCGAUCUCAAAUCAAGUAAGACUACCCGCUGAACUUAAGCAUAUCAAUAAGCGGAGGAAAAGAAACUAACAAGGAUUCCCCUAGUAACGGCGAGUGAAGCGGGAUGAGCUCAAAUUUAAAGUCUGGCUGGUUUACUAGUCCGAAUUGUAGUUUAUAGAAGCGUUUUCGGUGGCAGCCUGGGUAUAAAUCCUUUGGAAUAGGGUAUCAUAGAGGGUGAGAAUCCCGUCUUUGACUCAGUGCAUGCUACUAUGUGAUACGUUUUCAAAGAGUCGAGUUGUUUGGGAAUGCAGCUCAAAAUGGGUGGUAAAUUUCAUCUAAAGCUAAAUAUUGGCGAGAGACCGAUAGCGAACAAGUACCGUGAGGGAAAGAUGAAAAGAACUUUGAAAAGAGAGUUAAACAGUGCGUGAAAUUGUUGAAAGGGAAACGUUUGACACCAGUUAUGCGGGUGGAAAAUCAGUCUUUUGCAAUGGGGAGUUGUGGGCGUUCAGACCGCAAGGCUGGCGUUUGCUUCAUCUUUGUUGUAAGUGAUGCACUUUUUCAUUUGCAGGUCAACAUCAGUUUGCUUUGCUGGACAAAACCCCAAGGGAAGGUGGCAGCUUAGGCUGUGUUAUAGCCCUGGGGCGAUACAGUGGAGUGGACUGAGGUUUCGCAGUGUGUGCUCUCGGGCAAGGCUGACUGGGUGCUAUGGGAUCGUUCGGCGUACAAUGCAUGCAUUUUGCGUCGUGUCUUUUUCAUACUCGCUCAACUCGGCUCUUCCACACUUAGGAUGUUGACUUAAUGGUUUUAAACGACCCGUCUUGAAACACGGACCAAGGAGUCUAACAUAUAUGCAAGUG
This 839-nucleotide ribosomal RNA is filed under the name uncultured zygomycete. RNAcentral's name for it is "eukaryotic LSU rRNA". It matches the Rfam family "Eukaryotic large subunit ribosomal RNA", at positions 1 to 692 of the family's 3401-position model. Lineage: Eukaryota; Fungi. The record is from RNAcentral.